AGAUAAGCUACUCAGGUGUUAUUCACAAAUAGGACUGUGCAGCGACAUCAAUAUCUUACAAGGAAAAUGUGAUAUCGAUAAACAAUUACAUUUCUUUGCUUUAUUGGUGUUAUUUAUAAAAAAUAUAUACAUGCAAACUACUGAAGAGAAAAAGCAAAUCGCAAAUAUCUCAUUGAAAG
Long non-coding RNA from Ceratosolen solmsi marchali, 179 nucleotides. RefSeq lists it as uncharacterized. The record is from RefSeq and is a predicted model, not a curated record. The transcript has 2 exons. NCBI's taxonomy places the organism in Eukaryota, Metazoa, Arthropoda, Insecta, Hymenoptera, Agaonidae.